This is a long non-coding RNA of Sorex araneus (European shrew), 1605 nucleotides long. RefSeq lists it as uncharacterized. NCBI's taxonomy places the organism in Eukaryota, Metazoa, Chordata, Mammalia, Eulipotyphla, Soricidae. The transcript has 3 exons. The record is from RefSeq and is a predicted model, not a curated record.
UUUUGGGAUCCUGGGAGAUGCGGAGCUGAAGAGACUCUGGCAGAAGUGGGUCUAGCAUCCGGGCUGUGUUGGAGCAGAGUGGUCCUUGCAACCAAAUGUAGCAGGUGGUAGGCUGGUCACUUCCAGGAUGUACCCCUAGAUGUACCAUAAUGCAAUCUAGGAUUUCCAUUGGUCACCACACCCUUAUUUCUUUGUUUUACAUAAUUUUUAGAUUUUUUUAGGGUGAAGGAACACAUGGCAAUGUUCAGGGGUUAUUCCUAUCUCUGCAUUCAGGGAUCACUCAUGGUGGUGCUCAGAGAAACAUGGAAUGCCGGCAGUCAAACCUGGGUAGACACGUUCAAGACAAGAACCCCACCCACUAUAUUUCUGUUAUUAUCAAUUGUAGUUUUUGGUCCACAGCUGGCAAGUGCUCAGGGCUCACUCUUGGAUCUUAGCUCAGGCGUGGCUCCUGGCAGUGCUGGGGUGGGGAAAUCUAUGUGCUCUUGCAUAUUAACCCGGGCUCAGCUGCUUGAACAAAAAGCAUCCUAUCCAUUUACUAUCUCUGCUAACUCUGAUUUUAUUUUUCCCCAGAAAAAUAAUUUCUGCUUCCCCUGUUAGGUUUCAGAGCAAUCCCUCAUUGACGGAGGUAUUUCUCCAGGACGAGAGGCUGCCCUUUCUGUUCUGGUGAUUCCACGGAGCCACCUGCUAAUCCUUGGGAAUUACAGAAGCUGCAGACAAUGGUGACAUGCCACUGACACACUGUUUCAGAUAUUCAUCAUCAUCAUCAUCCCGUUGAUCGUUGAAUUUCUCGAGUGGUCUCAGUAACAUCUCCAUUCGUCCUAGCCCUGAGAUUUUAUAAGCCUCUCUUUACUCGUCCUUCCCAACGAUGCCAAAUUGGAGGCUCUUUCAGGGUCAGGGGAAUGAGACCCAGCUUUGUUACUGGUUUUGGCAUAUGAACACACCAUGGGGAGUUUGCCAGGAUCUCCCAUGGGGGAAGGAACUCUCGGUAGCUUGCCAGGUUCUCCUAGAGGGAGAAGUAGACUAUAAAAUAUAUAGACUAUAUAAGGCUUAAGGGAGCUUAGUUAUAAAUCUCUGGAUGUUGGCCAUUGGUGAGAUUACACAGCGCCGGGGGCAGUCCCUGGGUGUGACUGCCUAGCUACUGGAAAAUAGGAAAUCUGGACAGAGGAGGCCCAGUCCCCAUCUGAGCAGGCUUGGAGGUCUCAGCCCCGGGUCCCACACACCUAGGUGCCUCUGCCGGUCGCUUCAUGCAUGAGGCUUAUCCAAUCGUGUGGAAAGGGGCCUUGAGCAUGGCUGUGGCUAGGUUCCAGAUGUCUUCGGCCACGGAAGCUCUGCUUGGGACGGGGAGGGAAGCUGGAGUCCACCCCCUCCGAGGACCCGGAAAAGACAGCCAGGCUCACGUGCAAGAGACUCUAGGUUGCUCUCUUCCAGGAGCUUGUUUUUUUCUUUAUAGUAAAAUUGUAUUUAAAGAACACAGAACCAGACAUCCUGGUUCUAUAUGCUAGAUCUUCAGUCCUGUGGUUUAAAAUUUGAUAAAUUUUAUUGUAGAUAUUAUAAUACAUAAUAAAAUAUAGAAACUAAUAAAAAUUAGUGGUGAAUUAUUAAUUU